This 465-nucleotide ribosomal RNA is filed under the name uncultured Nitrosomonas sp. Its description in RNAcentral is "bacterial SSU rRNA". It matches the Rfam family "Bacterial small subunit ribosomal RNA", at positions 338 to 795 of the family's 1533-position model. The record is from RNAcentral. Lineage: Bacteria; Pseudomonadati; Pseudomonadota; Betaproteobacteria; Nitrosomonadales; Nitrosomonadaceae.
CCUACGGGAGGCAGCAGUGGGGAAUUUUGGACAAUGGGCGCAAGCCUGAUCCAGCAAUGCCGCGUGAGUGAAGAAGGCCUUCGGGUUGUAAAGCUCUUUCAGUUGAGAAGAAAGAAUUCUGGUUAAUACCUGGAAUUUAUGACGGUAUCGACAGAAGAAGCACCGGCUAACUACGUGCCAGCAGCCGCGGUAAUACGUAGGGUGCAAGCGUUAAUCGGAAUUACUGGGCGUAAAGGGUGCGCAGGUGGUUUUGUAAGUCAGAUGUGAAAUCCCCGGGCUUAACCUGGGAAUUGCGUUUGAAACUACAAGACUAGAGUGUGGCAGAGGGGGGUGGAAUUCCAUGUGUAGCAGUGAAAUGCGUAGAUAUAUGGAGGAACAUCGAUGGCGAAGGCAGCCCCCUGGGUUAACACUGACACUCAUGCACGAAAGCGUGGGGAGCAAACAGGAUUAGAUACCCGGGUAGUC